GAAAUGCGAUAAGUAGUGUGAAUUGCAGACUUUAGUGAAUCAUCGAAUCUUUGAACGCACAUUGCGCCCCUUGGUAUUCCACUGGGCAUGCCUGUUCGAGCGUCAUUUGACCCCUCAAGCCCCGCUUGGUGUUGGGCGUUUUGUCCUGCGCGUCCGCGCGGACUCGCCUCAAAGGCAUUGGCAGCGGCUCCGUCGGCCCCUUUGCGCAGCACAUUGCGCUCCGGGAGGCUCCUGCGGGCUCGCGUCCACAAGACCACCACCUUUGACCUCGAAUCAGGUAGGGAUACCCGCUGAACUUAA
This 300-nucleotide unclassified non-coding RNA is filed under the name uncultured Dothideomycetes. RNAcentral describes it as "sequence contains ITS1". The stretch from base 1 to 105 matches the Rfam family "5.8S ribosomal RNA", at positions 50 to 154 of the family's 154-position model. Lineage: Eukaryota; Fungi; Ascomycota; Dothideomycetes. The record is from RNAcentral.